This 85-nucleotide transfer RNA is filed under the name Felis catus (domestic cat). It matches the Rfam family "tRNA". From Rfam's summary of the family: Transfer RNA (tRNA) molecules are approximately 80 nucleotides in length. Their secondary structure includes four short double-helical elements and three loops (D, anti-codon, and T loops). Further hydrogen bonds mediate the characteristic L-shaped molecular structure. tRNAs have two regions of fundamental functional importance: the anti-codon, which is responsible for specific mRNA codon recognition, and the 3' end, to which the tRNAs corresponding amino acid is attached (by aminoacyl-tRNA synthetases). tRNAs cope with the degeneracy of the genetic code in two manners: having more than one tRNA (with a specific anti-codon) for a particular amino acid; and 'wobble' base-pairing, i.e. permitting non-standard base-pairing at the 3rd anti-codon position. Lineage: Eukaryota; Metazoa; Chordata; Mammalia; Carnivora; Felidae. The record is from Rfam by way of RNAcentral.
GCCUGGGUGGCUCAGUCGGUUGAGCGUCUGACUUCGGCUCAGGUCGUGAUCUCGAGGUCCGUGAGUUCGAGCCCCGCGUCGGGCU